UCAUUGUACAUAAUAAUACUUGGUGGCUU
RNAcentral lists this small RNA (29 nucleotides) under Bombyx mori (domestic silkworm). Its description in RNAcentral is "ovarian small RNA-26377". Lineage: Eukaryota; Metazoa; Arthropoda; Insecta; Lepidoptera; Bombycidae. The record is from RNAcentral.